UACGUAGGGUGCAAGCGUUGUCCGGAAUUAUUGGGCGUAAAGAGCUCGUAGGCGGUUUGUUGCGUCGGCUGUGAAAUCCCGAGGCUCAACCUCGGGUCUGCAGUCGAUACGAGCAAACUAGAGUGUUGCAGGGGAGACUGGAAUUCCUGGUGUAGCGGUGAAAUGCGCAGAUAUCAGGAGGAACACCGGUGGCGAAGGCGGGUCUCUGGGCAACAACUG
RNAcentral lists this ribosomal RNA (219 nucleotides) under uncultured bacterium. RNAcentral describes it as "partial 16S ribosomal RNA". It matches the Rfam family "Bacterial small subunit ribosomal RNA", at positions 524 to 742 of the family's 1533-position model. The record is from RNAcentral.